RNAcentral lists this ribosomal RNA (497 nucleotides) under uncultured bacterium. Its description in RNAcentral is "partial 16S ribosomal RNA". It matches the Rfam family "Bacterial small subunit ribosomal RNA", at positions 28 to 507 of the family's 1533-position model. The record is from RNAcentral.
GACGAACGCUGACGGCGUGCCUAAUACAUGCAAGUUGAGCGCUGAAGGUUGGUACUUGUACCAACUGGAUGAGCAGCGAACGGGUGAGUAACGCGUGGGGAAUCUGCCUUUGAGCGGGGGACAACAUUUGGAAACGAAUGCUAAUACCGCAUAAAAACUUUAAACACAAGUUUUAAGUUUGAAAGAUGCAAUUGCAUCACUCAAAGAUGAUCCCGCGUUGUAUUAGCUAGUUGGUGAGGUAAAGGCUCACCAAGGCGAUGAUACAUAGCCGACCUGAGAGGGUGAUCGGCCACAUUGGGACUGAGACACGGCCCAAACUCCUACGGGAGGCAGCAGUAGGGAAUCUUCGGCAAUGGACGAAAGUCUGAACGAGCAACGCCGCGUGAGUGAAGAAGGUUUUCGGAUCGUAAAACUCUGUUGGUAGAGAAGAACGUUGGUGAGAGUGGAAAGCUCAUCAAGUGACGGUAACUACCCAGAAAGGGACGGCUAACUACGUG